AAAGCUGAGAGAGAGAGAGAGAGAGAUGGGAUAUAGCAGCAUAUCCUCAAACACGUUGCAGCUGUUCCUGUGUUAUCGCCCUCGCACCAAAAACCCCACUCAAAUCCACUUUUCCUCUUCUUACCUUUCCAAUCUCAGAAGAAGAGCAAAAACCACUCAUCCAUCUGUCUCAGCCUCUCGUAUCGACUCUUCUUCUCAAGAAGAAUCCGAACAGCAAGAGAAGCAGCUCAACCUCUCUGUUCUCCGCUUCACGCUCGGGAUACCGGGGUUCGAUGAAUCGUACUUACCCAGAUGGAUCGGCUAUGCUUUCGGAUCCUUUAUUCUCUUAAAUCACUUCAUCGGAUCGGAUUCCGUCACCCCAGCCCAGCUUCGAUCGGAAGCUCUCGGACUUUGUUUGGCGGCCUUCUCCAUCUCCCUUCCUUUUCUCGGAAGGUUUCUCAAGGGUGCUAAUCCAGUGGAUCGAUCAACUCUGCCAGAAGGAAACAGGCAAAUAUUUGUCAUGCCUGAAAAUCUCUCAGAUACUGAAAAGGAAGAUUUGGCUUGGGUGUCUUAUGUUCUACUGCGGAAUACAAACACUAUGUCAGUGCUUAUAUCAGUCCAAGAUGCAUUAUGUGCACGUGGUUACUGGAAUGUACGUGAAGAUGCAACAAAAUCUGACAUGCUCGACUGGUUCAAGGGGCAGAUUCAACAGAUUGGGUUUUCUGAUCUGAAGGACACACUUUAUUUUCCUCAGGGUUCAGAUUCUCAAGCUUGGGAGAUACUACCGAACGGCGCUCUUUCACUUCUCGUACAACCAGUGCUAGGAGCUCCAAAUCUGAGUGCUGGUGACACAAAGAAUGGAGGGUUUGUCCUGUUGGUGUCUAAUGGCAGUUAUGCAUACAGCGACAGAGACAAAGCAUGGGUAAGAGCUGUCACAAACAAAUUUGCAGGUUAUGGAUAUUUUGAAAAUGCAGGAUACUACUAUUAGUAGUGGGAGCAUUGGAUGUGAUUGGAUGGACGUGAUACGUCAUUCUGCAUAGAAUCAAUUUUAUUUUUUAUUUUUAGAAUUAUGAAUGUAAUAAAGCUUUGAACUUUAUUCAAAAUUUUCUUAAUUCAAGUUAUGUUAAAUAAUUAUGCAUCGAUGUAGUAACAUAUUAUGGAAUUAUUUAUCUUAGCAUGUGGUUUGGAUUUAAAAAUUUGUGGGAUAAGGUGGGAGGAAAUGGAAUGCAUAUCUACUUAUCAUACUUCACCUUUUUCAUGGGUCACGGGUCUGAAAUUCGGGUCCUGGAUACCCUAUUCGGGUACCGAAUUUUGGGACGUGACAGCAAAGCUGCAAACUUGGGCUAAUUUUUCUAUUUUAAUCCCAUUUAUAGAUUUUAGUUAAUUAAAUUUCUUCUGAAGUGAUACAAACAUUUGAACAUGUUAUGAAUUACAGUCGCAUAAAUAUGCACUGUUGCUUGUGAACUGCAGCCAAUCUAUGUAAACUUACAAGCUAAUCACUAAGUCGCUUUUCUGUGAAUUACACUGCAGCAUGCUAUGAAUCAGGAAGACAUGGUGUGUAAAUCCAACUGUGGACCUGGUAACUGUGCCAUAAACAUUUGGGUCUCCGAGAAUAACCAGAAUGCUUACUUCUCAAAAAGUGUAAACGAUUAACACCCAGCAUCCAAGGAAACAUCAUU
Magnolia sinica is the source of this 1658-nucleotide RNA transcript. It is a transcript of the gene named protein COFACTOR ASSEMBLY OF COMPLEX C SUBUNIT B CCB2, chloroplastic, with no coding region annotated. NCBI's taxonomy places the organism in Eukaryota, Viridiplantae, Streptophyta, Magnoliopsida, Magnoliales, Magnoliaceae. The transcript is spliced from 8 exons. The record is from RefSeq and is a predicted model, not a curated record.